AGAGUUUGAUCCUGGCUCAGAACGUACGCUGGCGGCACGCCUAACACAUGCAAGUCGAACGAAGUAGCAAUACUUAGUGGCAGACGGGUGAGUAACAUGUGGGUAUCUGCCCUUUGGCCUGGAAUAACACGAGGAAACUUGUGCUAAUACCGGAUAAGUCUUUACGGAGAAAGCUUUAUGCACCAUUGGAUGAGCCUGCACUUGAUUAGUUUGUUGGUGGGGUAAUGGCCUACCAAGACUGUGAUCAAUAGCUGAUUUGAGAGGAUGAUCAGCCACAUUGGGACUGAGACACGGCCCAAACUCCUACGGGAGGCAGCAGUGGGGAAUCUUGCACAAUGGAGGAAACUCUGAUGCAGCGAUGCCGCGUGAGUGAAGAAGGCCCUUGGGUUGUAAAGCUCUUUCGUCGGGGAAGAAAAUGACUGUACCCGAAUAAGAAGGUCCGGCUAACUUCGUGCCAGCAGCCGCGGUAAUA
Molecule: ribosomal RNA, 472 nt
Filed under: uncultured bacterium
Lineage: Bacteria
Description: bacterial SSU rRNA
Rfam family: Bacterial small subunit ribosomal RNA
Source: RNAcentral